AACGAACGCUGGCGGCAUGCCUAACACAUGCAAGUCGAACGAAGCCUUCGGGCUUAGUGGCGCACGGGUGCGUAACACGUGGGAAUCUGCCCUUCGGUUCGGAAUAACAGUUAGAAAUGACUGCUAAUACCGGAUGAUGACGAAAGUCCAAAGAUUUAUCGCCGAAGGAUGAGCCCGCGUAGGAUUAGGUAGUUGGUAGGGGUAAUGGCCUACCAAGCCGACGAUCCUUAGCUGGUCUGAGAGGAUGAUCAGCCACACUGGGACUGAGACACGGCCCAGACUCCUACGGGAGGCAGCAGUGGGGAAUAUUGGACAAUGGGCGAAAGCCUGAUCCAGCAAUGCCGCGUGAGUGAUGAAGGCCUUAGGGUUGUAAAGCUCUUUUACCAGGGAUGAUAAUGACAGUACCUGGAGAAUAAGCUCCGGCUAACUCCGUGCCCAGCCAGCCGCGGUAAUAGUGUGUGUAA
This 464-nucleotide ribosomal RNA is filed under the name uncultured bacterium. RNAcentral's name for it is "bacterial SSU rRNA". It matches the Rfam family "Bacterial small subunit ribosomal RNA", at positions 29 to 537 of the family's 1533-position model. The record is from RNAcentral.